ACGUGACUCAUGCCAGCGGGCUGCGGGACGGUGACAUCAGCCCCUCGGCGGGGCCCAGCCCGCCGGGGGUUGUUUGGAGCUUUGUGCCGGGUACGAGGGCCAGGACCACUCGGCAGGGAGGGUUGAUGGAAAGCAAGCUGCAGGAAGAGCAGCCGCAGCAGGGCUGGUUUUCACACCUGCUAGCAGGCAGCCCCUCUCCUGGCCUCCCCAGGGCUGAAGCAUGCAAAAGACUUGCUUGCUGCCCGAGGCAGGCGGCCCAUGGUGCCGGCACACGCUGCUGACACCUCGUCCUUCCGUGGGGCUGGCACGACACCUGAGGCCAGGACAGAGAGGGUGCGGCUGGAUUUCAAGACUACAAUAAGAGCUCUUUAUGGGCAUGAAAUUACCGUCCUGCAAUACUGGCAAACCAUUCCCUUUUCCAGGAAAGCUGCUUUGUAGUGCCGCCAGAAAACUAGCCCUUCAGCAUCGCAAGCUACGCCGGCAGCAGUGCAUCGUGUAGCUCUGACCAGAGGCUACUACAGGACUCCUCCCACAGCCAGGGAGAGACCGUCACAUAAAGGAAAGCUGAAGCUCUGGGCACGCUGAUGGACUAAGCAAAGAAGAACCAGCUCUGCUUUGGAGCUCCUCACCAUGACGGUCAAUGUGUGAGCCCUCCUGUAACUCAACACGGUCAUCACAGUCAUUCUUUCUAGAUGUGACCAUCAAGUGUGAAAAUCACCCUGUUAGCACAAUACGCCUGAAUCUGUUUGGGGGACUUAAAUGAGAUUGAAGGCUGAGUGAGGAGCUGUUUUAUGGAUCUGCCCUUUCUGGGGAGAAGCUCAGGCUGUGGCACCAAAAUGUGCAAGGCACUGUCCAUGACAUAGAGGGUAUUGUUUUUUCCAUGUUGCACAGCUAAGUCACCUGAGAUACACAGUUUUAUUUCAGUGCCUUGACAAAGUAGCUGGAUUGUCAUCAAGCAGAGGCUAAUGACUCACGAUUACACUAUAGUCUGAAAGAAAAGUUGUUUUGUACUCAAAUGUGCGAAACACAGGGGAUUUGUUAACUGCUAGCCAAAUUCUCAGCUGGGCAUCGCUGAAAUCUAUGCAACCACAUGGAUUUACACCAAUGUUGUCCCACUACUGUCUCCUCAGAGCAUUUCUCUACUGACAAAGGCUCACAAAGAACUUCCCAUGCUAAUUUUUUUAAUUCCUCAACCAGCCUCCCAACCUGCAUGGAGCAAAUUCUGGCCUCCAGCACCACCCUCAAAGCCCUGGUGCUUACUCCAUGUCCUCACGUGCUCAGUGCUGGCACGGUCGUGCCCUAAGAGGCUUCAAGCUACCUGCCUCCAGCCUUGCAUUUCACUGGUGUCCACAACCUCCAAGGCCACCACACCAUGGUCCAAACCCUAAACCCUGUCCAGCCACCCAUUGCUCAUCUGUUAAGUCCCCUCCAUAUAAAUCCUGCUACAGGUGUGCUUCUACUGCUGUAAGGGAGCUUGCUGAUUUGGGGGUAAGUUUUCCAUAAAUUGCUUAUUGAUGUUUUCUUCCCCAAUUUCUGUCCUUGGAUUAUGGACUCUGUGGAGUGAAGGGAAAGCACUGAAGUGUCCAAAAAUCACCAGCCGCAUAGUGGGUGUUACAGCAAACGUUCACAAUAAUAGCAGCAACAAUAAUUGUAUCAAUAAUUACAUUGUUUGCUGCUGUUGUUAUUCCUUCUCCCGUUCCUACAACACUUGACGUAUAUGGGCUCCAGGCAGCUUCUGAGCCUCAAGAAACAUUUUCAGGUGAUGCAGAACACAAAGAACAGAGAAAACAGCUUUAUACUAUUACCUAUACAUAUGUAGCUAAUAUGAUUAUAUAUUAUUGCAUAGUGAUUUAAAUGACUUUGCUGAACAUUCUGAUUUGUUGCUUUUCAGCUUACAGAAUGACAGCGUGUAGUAAAAUAUCAUAAAUUUGUUUAUACACACCAGCAGAUUUUUUAUUAUUAUUUUGCUUAAGAAAGAAAAUAUGUAAAAAAUAUUUGCAGAUGAGAAGGGCCAUCUUCCCUGGAAGGACGUAACACGAUCAUCGCUGAGUCUAAAGGAGAAUUUCAUUCUCCUCUAAAUCAUUUGCUUUUGGUACAUUUUUUUCAUAUUUAGUAGCUGGAUGUAAUUCCCUCUAUAUGUACUAACUCUGUGUUAUUGCAAUUCCAGCAUGAUUUAUGUUUAUUUGGGGUCUAACAAGAUAAUGAAUCAGGAAAUGGCAUUGCACUUUAUAUUAUGUAUUUAUUUAUUAUGUUAGGAUGAAAUUUACCUGGGUCCAGAGAACAAAAUUAGGCUGUUACAGCCCUUGGUUUCAUAAAAGUUAUUUUCCUCUCAAUGCCUAUGCCCCGUGGACAGAAAUUUAUUUUAUCUGCACUGAAUGAGAAUUCUCCUAUUCUCUCUCUGCUAAGGUAGCCUCCAGAUAUGAUUUCUAUACCUUUUCUCAUGCUUCCAAUUUUGUAUACAUUACUUGAAUGCUUGAAAAUAUGAAAUAUACUACCAACAAACAGAGUGAUAAAAUCUCCAGUUUGUAGGGAAUCUUUUUUGUUCCUAUUCAAUCCUUUUGUAAUUACAAAGACCUACUCAUUAAUUUGAUGUCUUUGGUGACAUUAUCAUACUUCUGAUCAUAACCUUUCUGUUGAAUUCUAGGGGCUGGCUGACCGUUAGAAAGAAGGACUGUUCUGCAGACAGUUUAUGGGGUUCAGAUUUGGAAGAUCUCAGUUCUUCUCUGAAGUGUGACACUGCAAAGCAAUGAAAGACGACCUUAAUUGGAAGGUGUAUGAAUACAUGUAAGUAUAGGGGAAGUGAAGUGGAAAAUUACACUACAGCAUAUAAGAGAACUGAAUGUAUUUAAUAAUACAACAGUAGCUAUCUGUAAUAAUACUAAAAAUAUCACAGAAAAACAUUAUGGGAACAUUGUUAAGAGUCCAAACGUGUUCUGAUUGAUGUAUUUAAUAACUUUGCAAGAACUUAAGUCUCAAAGACUUGUAAUUUCUGUAAGAUUAGAUAGUAUUCUUACACAAAAUGCAGGAGAGAAAUCAAAUGAAAAAAUGGCAACUUUAUCUCCUAUAGAAGAGUUAUAAAAUCAUUAAGCAAGUAAAAGUUUAUUCAGUUAAUUGGCUAAGGCCCAGCAAGAAUUUCACAACACUAUCAGCAGGGUGUUGAAAUACCGAAAAACCACCACACAACCAAAUGCUCAGUUUCAGAGAAGCACUCUUAUUUAAGAAACACUUUCUUGAGUAUUUCUUAGAUAAGGAAUUGUUUAUCAGUAUGUGUGUAUCUCCUUCCUGGAAUCAAGGUCUCUGCAAGUUUUUUCAUGUAUCCUAACAUUCUCUCAGUGUUUUCUGAUUUCCCCUUGCUCAAGCCCCAGGAACGUAGGAAAAGUGGAAACAACAUAUACUUAUGAAGAAAUGUGAUAUAUAUAAUUAUUAUUUAUAUUUAUUUAGCGAUUUGAGCUAAGAUCGUGAGCAUCAGAGUGUGAUGAGAUAACCAGAAGUGACUUCUGACACUUUUUCUUUUGCACAGAGAACAUGGAUGGAUAUUAACAAGUCAAAGCAGCAGCACAAAGAAAGGUAGCUCAUGCAGCUGCCUGUGCAAUAGAAAUUUGGAAAGCUGUGAAAUCAAGGUAUAACCUGUGUGAAGGCAAAGUAAGAAGGGCCAUGGACAUCUAGAAAAAAAACACUGUAAUUGUGUUGACCGUGAAGCCUCCUCUGAAACAGAAGGUUUCUGAAUUUCUGCACCAGGAUACAUUUUUUUCUUAGAAAUAAUCUGGCCAUCUAGGAAAUAUUUCACUCUACCUUCCAGCACACACUGCAGUUCAAAAACAGUGUAAAUGUAAAUAUUGCUGAUGCCAAGCACAUGAUUUGCCAAUGCAAAAUGAUGCAUUUUGUACCAGGAUUCCAUUAUAACCAAGAUUAAUUUUAGUAUUAUGGAAAGAGAACAAGGCUCUGUCUGGCAAUUCGUUAACAACAACAAACUCCUGAUGACAAAUGAUAUGUAACUCACAGGCUUUGUUCAGGGAAACUCCUGUAAACAGCUGACUUACAAAUGUUCAUACAAAACAAACUAUACUGCAACCUGAUUUUAAUCUAACUGCCAGAUACUUGUGAGGUAAUGCUGUGGGAGAUGGCACAAAGAUUUUGAAGAAGGAGAUAGCUGGUGGAAAACUCUAACAUUUUAUGGAAAAUUCUAAUUUUUCAACAACAACAAAAAGCAAUCAAUGAAUAUAUCCCAGAUUAUUUUAGGAGUAGGGAAACAUCUCACCAUCAUCAUGUAAAGGCAACCAUUAUCCAGUAAGAACUCAGGCCAAGUCUCAAGUGGCACAUCACAGCAUGAAUCAUUCUUUAAGGUAGCUUGGCUCGACUAUACAGAUUGACUGAUCAUAAAGCAUACCUCUGAUCUAUCCAGAUCUUCUCUCUUACUUAAUAGGAGAAAACAACCCCUGUAAAAAAGGCUAACACUUUAUAUGUCUGCAUUAGUUUACAUGGAUUCAUCAAUACUCAAGACCAUCUCCCGUAAAUUCUAAAAUUAGUUUUGAGAACAAGAACAGGCAUAACCAAAACACAAAGCCAAGAAGAUAUAAAAGAAUAGAGUGAAAGUAGGGAGAGCUGACAAACACUAAAAGAAAAAAUGAGAAAAUAUUUAUGACUAUGUUGGAUGAUCAUCAGACAGAUCUUCCCUUGCAUCCAAUUUCAGUUAUUUUUGAGAAUCACUGUGGAAAUUUGCUCAUGGCUGUCAUACUCAAAAAAAGACAUGCUAUGUGCGGGAUUCAGCCCCGUAAAACAAACAUGAAGAAGUAUCAUGUACCAUUUAAGUCUUGUUGAAUCCUACCAUGACAAAACCUUUUGAUGAGAAGUAAAUUUCACUGACUGAUUAAUGAGGCGGGCUCUCUUUCCAGCAAGUGAAUGAUACUUUUCUGAGUCAAAUGUAGCUUAUUAGGCUGAAGUCAUUAAGCAUGACCAAGCCAUCCAAUCACACGACAUGAACACAAACUCAUCACCACUAAGUGAUGUCAAAAAAAAUAACCACAUCAAGAAAACCAAAAGCCUAAAAUUUGGAACAGUACAGAGACUGAAUAACUUCACUUUCUACAGAAACAAUUUAUCAAAAGAAAAAAAAAUACUAAAUUCAAAAAGAAAUUCUUUUGCUGAAAAUUACAUACUCAGUCAUACGAUUACAUGGCUUUUGUUCCCCUAGUCCUCUUCUUCCUCCUGGGUUUCUAUCUAGGAAAUAUUCUCAGAACCUGCUGGUUCAGAUACCUCUUUCAGACUGUUGGCAUUCAAAGGUUCCAGCAACGAAGCCUUAUUAUUAUAAAUACUCCAGCUAUAAAAUUUCUAAGGAAAUCAGACCAACUAUCAUCUUCUCCUUCUGACUUUCAUUUAGGAAUUUUAAAUCCUCUAGCGUGGGAGAAUACUCUAAAGCUAAGCUUGCUAUUUCAUUAAAAGCAAAAGAGGAAAAUUAGGAUGAAAAUUCCAAAGCCUGGGAAGGUAAGUAAGGAAACAGCAAACUAGAAACUAGAGAGGAUGAAAACCAACACUACAUUGAUGACUCUGGCAAAUCCCAUUGUUUGUUCAAGGCAAAGUACAUUACAAAUUUUGUUUUGGUACGACAUGAUGAUAAGCAGUACAUUUGGGUUGCACAGAAUUAUUUUUUUGUUUGUUUGCUUUCUUGCUUUGUUUUUAACCUUUCUUGUUCAUCCUGGUACUUGAAUAACAGGAAAAACCUAGUCCUGAGCUUACAGUCAUGCAAAUCCUCCUCACUCAAGCAUGAAGUUACAGUGGCUUCCAGAAGUUUAUUUUUUUGUGCAGACAUCACCCUUGAACGUUACCUUCUUGAUCUGGCCUUCAAACUUGUCACAUGAUAUCUAGUGUUUACAAAUUGGUUGCUAUCUAGAAAUGAGCAGCUUUGACGUGACUGAGGUAUUCUCACAGGAAAUACAUGCAGUGAAUCAGCGGUAGCAUGUGUAAGAGAUGCUCUGUCUCUCUUUUGCUCAGCAUUGCUGCAUAGAAUGACAUACUAUCAAAGAUAAUACACAGCCUCUGGAACAAGCAAAACACAACACUGACUAAUAUAGAACAUUAAAGUCAAAAGCAAUUUUCUCUGCUCGCCCCCACCUCCACAGCAUUGCAACUCACACUAGAGAAAGGGCUGGAUGAAGUCUUGCUAAGUCCAGCAUGAAGCCCAGUAGCAAAUAAAGUAAUGUGAGAGUUGCCUGAAGUUUGAACUAAGCCCUCUGCAUAGUUAUGAGAACUUGCCGUUAAAAGAAUAAAUGUUAACAAUAAGAAGUCCAAGAGAAUAAACCUGUGAGAGCCAACCUUAAAGAUCUGCAAGGGGUCUCAUAAAUACAUAGUAAGCAUCCACACUGAUGGAUUCCCUAGAGGAAAAAAACCUAUAUUACCUACAAAGCACAUAGUUUACAAACCUUCUUUUCGUAACAUAUAACUUGUAAAAUUCAAAGUUUAGAGCUAAGGAAAACAACCAAGGUAAGAGCUAAUCAGCAAAGUGGUAUCUUCCUUCACUUAAUUUUGUUUUACUUGUAUAAUUUGUUGAUGAGCCAUCAAACAAGACUCUUACCUGUCAGCACUGGGGGUUAGAUAUGGAUUUGGGUGAAUAAAGAUAAAUUGACGAGUAUGGGCUUGAAUCACGUCAACAUAACAGGUAACUGCUGUGGGUUUUGUCACCCAGUGUGUUGGUAAGGGAUUAGGGUGUUGGCUCUCUUUUUGUACUCUGGUGCCCUAAGCUUUUAAGAAUGCACUAGUAGGUCCUGGCAACUUGAGUUGGCUCAAGUCCCUUGUACAUGAGCCCUGUGUGACCAACAGUAGCUUCUCAUGAAGAACACAGCAGAAACUCAACUGCACUCUGCCAGAAAGCCUUCUGGAAGCAGGGUUUGUUGGCACAUCCCUACCUUAAAGCAACCAGCCAGCGGGGGUGACAGCAGGGGUGCAUCUUAAGAGUUAUUCAGCUCCAGGCAGAAAUGGAGUAGGUCUCUUCUAAUGUAGGCUCUGAAAACUAAAUUACAGAAAAUAUGACUGGUAAAUACAAAAAGGUAAGACAGGAAAAAAAUGUACCAAAGUAUAUUCACAGACAGAAUAGGAAUUUCACUUGGUAACCAACAGCAUUCUUAUAUAUAAGACUGUUUCUCCUCCCAGCAUUCAGCCCUGGUAGAUGAAAUGGCUGGGUGAUCCAGGCUGCAGCAGUCCAUCAUCUUCCCAGUGGGUCAGAUACCAGCUGAGGGACUCCCAGAAGCAGCAAAUAGCCCUGGCAACAAGGACCUGCAAAUCUAGGUGCCUGACCACUGAGGUACUCAAUGAAGUCUUUAGGUGCUGGAAUUCUUAAAGCCCUCUGUAAGAACUCCUUGUCCUCUCCUAGACCACAGCAGAAAGGAUGUGAGCAAAACACAGCUAGCCUGGUCAUGGACUACCUGUUGGGGUGACUGUGUUAAAGCCCUAUUUUCUGGAACUAAAAUGAGAUAAUAUUUGAGAAAAAGAAAAGAAUCUAAGUAGCUAAGAGAAAAAAAAUCUGGCAUAAAACACAUAGACCAGCUAAAGAAAAAGAAGUGACAACAAACAAGCUCUGCAGUCAAGGAAAGGGUAAAAUCUUGGCCCUACCAAAGUCAGUGGGAUGUUUGCCAGAAAGCUGUAGACAGCUUGUUUUAUCCAGGAUUUUUAAUUAGUGAUUAAAUGAUUCAAUGGCAAGUUGGCUGUUUUAAGAAGGAAAAAAUCAUAAAAUAGCUGCAGCAUGCCUCUCCCUGCCCCGCCUACCCCUUGGGAGGUACAGAUCAUACACAGCUUUUUUAUGGGAGACUUGACAGGUAUUUCAUUGAACCUUAGUUGAAAUCUGUAGUUUCCCAGGCCCUGCCUCCUUCCCCAGUCUGGGGAUGAAGAUAGGAAACACCUGCUAAUGACACCAGAGACAGAGCAAACAGCAAAAGUCAUGUGUCAGCAGAAAUCCCACUGGAAGCCUGGCCUCUCUAAUCCAGAUUCAGUCCACCUAAUGGUGGUUAGUAUAUAUGGAGCAAUAGGAUGGUGUGUUCAUUUAACUGGCAUAAAUUUGAACUGCUGUCAAUAUCCUGAAGUGACAUACCCACGAAUAAGGUGUCUCCCUGCUGACAAGGACUGCACCAGUAAAUGUGCUGGACAGGGAUCUCCAGGCUGAUGCCACUUCUGACUUUCCACUGGCUCACCAAGGGUUAGAUGACUGACUUACAUGAAACUCCUCAUAGAUGCAAGAAUAUAUCUACACAGAAAGGUAGAUUUUGUACUUUCUGCCUUCCUAAAAAUGCAAAGGCUGAUUAGCAGAUUGACGUGGUCCUUGUUCAGUGUGCUUUCAGUCUUUCAUACUUCUUGAAAAAGCAGGGUUGGUGGCAGCAGAACCCCAGGCCUUGUUCUUGGUGUCUGUACACUGAUAUUGGCAACAGUGCUGGGCAUGAGAUAUAACCAGGACUAGCAGGCAGGACCACUGUGGAUAAAAGCAUUUAAGACUGCAUCUGCAGAGCUGAAUAACCAAAGGAAGUCAUAGAUUGAUGCAAAUAGAUCUUUACUGUCAAUGACAAUUUUUCUUUAAAAGGAUUAGCAAACUUCAUGUGGCCAAAGACUUUCUAAAAUAAACUUCAAAAAGUCCAAGAUGUAAAGAAUCACCUCAGAGAGGCUCUGGUGUGGUUUCCAAAUGACCUUUGGUAAGACUGGCAUCCUCAUAAAAUAGAGCAGAUGGUACAUGGUGGAGAGCAGGGAUAGGUGUAAGAAUUUCCUCAUUCUCUCAUCUCAGAGACAAGCAGUGUGAUUUUGCACAACCACAACAGCCCAGCUCAGCCAGCCAUAGGGCGUUUCAAGUUCUCCCUCAGCAGAGCAAAAGUCCACCUGAAAAAGAAGCAGCGGGGAAGGAAUCUCCGUGGUGUGACAGCCGCUGCCCUAGCUUAAAUGCUACGAGGCUCUUUCAGUUCUGCAGAUAGUAGUUCUGUAAACAGGAAUUACCUUUGGACUCUUAAAAAAAACAUGUACUAUAUCAUUCUGGAAUGGUGCUAAUCUCUCUAUCAUGGAGGUCAAAGCAAGCUUUCUAUUAUAAGCUCUGUGGAACACACCUACUUCCCAGCCACUCACUUGCAGGGAACAAAAUCCAGCUGGUCAAAACGCCCUGUGUGUAACAGGAUGCUAGAGCAGGAGCUUGAGGCAAUGUGGGUGAGGCAUUUGGGAGCUGUGAGACUUCCAAGCUGGAGGGUGAGCCCUGGGUGAGGCAAUACUGGCUCCGUGCCCCUACAGAUGAGGCAGGGUUUUCUUUCCUUCCUUGCAAAGGACAAUGGUCUAUUCACGGACAAUACCAGCUGGAGAGGCCACUGCCUCACAUCACACCCCAAAUCCAGCACAGCUUUGCUACGGUGCUCCCCACCAGCAACUGCUCUCAUCUUCCCCUUUGCAGAGUCCCUUUCCAUACGCUGUGAUAGCACUUAUGACAGCUACAGCCCAGGUAAGAUUGGGCCUUGGGGUUACAGUGACAAUGUCCCAGCCUUGGUGUCACAGUGACUGGAGCAAUGACUGGCAUGUUCCAAAGCAUAAACACUGACACCCAGGGUGUGGUAAGGUGGGGGUUAGCUGAGGACCCUCAACUUCUGUAUUUUCCUAGGGGUCUGAAGUGCACGUUGGCUUUGCUGAUAAACUUAUCAGUAGCAGAGUGAAACAUCCGUUUCAUUUGUACUGUUUACAGAGAGCCUAUUUCUCUAGUUGGUGAGUUGGGAUUGAGUGAGCAGGGUGACUGUUUUCUUCCCUCCCCUGUGAACAUUGCUGCUAGCAGCGAGCUGCACCUCAGAGGGGGGAGAGAUGUGCUGUGGCCAGACCCACCCUUGUCCCCAGUCUGAAGGUCCUCUACCCCUGCACACCCUUCCCAGCCCCAACCCCUGGAGCUGAGGAAAGGCUGUGGCACAGUAUGUGAACUCCGAUUACAUCUCCAAGCAGGAGGAACACACAAUCGGUGGGAGACGCCUGCUUUCUAGCCCCUUUGUGCUCAGGGGCAGAAACACAAAUAAGCCUCAAUGUCUUUUUCCUGCUUAUGUGAGCAGAGAUCCGUUUUUCAAUAGCAGGCCCCAGCAGAUAAGUAUUCCUUUUGCCUGGGGAAAUUUUCCUUCUCCCAUCCGGUCCGGUCCCAUCGCUUGGGAUGUCUCAGGGAGAGCGGGACCAUAAACUUUACGAGCGAGUUUUCACUAAAUGAAUUACAUAACAGAACCACUGCUUACAGCUGGUGUUGUGUCAGAAAGAGACCACAGAGAGAAGCGGAUAGGAAGGGCAACAAGCCUCCCGACAAGCCGCGGCAGGGCCCAGGCAGCGCAGGCCGCAGCCACACCUGCCUUCACCCGCGCUGCACAUAACGCCAUGCACCACGUCAGACAGCAACCCAGAGCCCAUCCAAAACAAACCUCCCAGCACAGGAGCAAUUGCCUUUCCUCAUAAACUCACCCAACGGGCUAUUUUUAAAAUUGAUCUUUCCAAAUAGCAUUAAGUGACAAAUCCAGCUCUGUGUCCACCCAACAAGUAUGGGGAGGUCCUGCAGACAGCUCUUGGGAUGAAGACUCAGACUUGAACUUUAUUAUUUUAUUGCACUUGGAGAAUUUCCUGGGUAUUUUCUAGGUUACUUCCUUAUUACUGGGUCAAAACGUUGCCAUGUGUAAACCUCAAUUUGUCAAUAUAUACAAUGAAGGCAGUGGAACAAGUUCUUCCCUGCUUUUUCCUCCAGAGUUUGACCUGAUGAA
Molecule: long non-coding RNA, 10730 nt
Organism: Oxyura jamaicensis (ruddy duck)
Lineage: Eukaryota; Metazoa; Chordata; Aves; Anseriformes; Anatidae
Exons: 4
Source: RefSeq, a predicted model, not a curated record